GAUGAACGCUAGCGGCAGGCCUAACACAUGCAAGUCGAGGGAGGAGCCUUCGGGCUUCGACCGGCGUACGGGUGCGUAACGCGUAUACAAUCUGCCUUUCACAUAGGGAUAGCCCGAAGAAAUUUGGAUUAAUACCUAAUGGUAUAUAGAUGUGGCAUCACCUUUAUAUUAAAGCUGAGGCGGUGAAAGAUGAGUAUGCGUUCUAUUAGCUAGUUGGAGAGGUAACGGCUCCCCAAGGCGACGAUAGAUAGGGGUUCUGAGAGGGAUAUCCCCCACACUGGUACUGAGAUACGGACCAGACUCCUACGGGAGGCAGCAGUGAGGAAUAUUGGACAAUGGUCGGAAGACUGAUCCAGCCAUGCCGCGUGCAGGAAGACGGCCUUAUGGGUUGUAAACUGCUUUUGCAGGGGAAGAAUAAGGAGUACGUGUACUUUGAUGACGGUACUCUGCGAAUAAGCAUCGGCUAACUCCGUGCCAGCAGCCGCGGUAAUACGGAGGAUGCGAGCGUUAUCCGGAAUCAUUGGGUUUAAAGGGUCCGUAGGCGGGCUAAUAAGUCAGAGGUGUAAGCGCUCAGCUCAACUGAGCAACUGCCUUUGAAACUGUUAGUCUUGAAUGGUUGUGUAGUAGUUGGAAUGUGUAUUGUAGCUGUGAAAUGCUUUAGAUAUGACACAGAAACACCGAUUGCGAAGGCGUAUUACUACCAUUUAUUUGACGCUGAGGGACGAAAAGCUUGUGGAAGCGAUCAGGAUUAUAUACUCUUGUUGUCCAUGGGCGAAUUUCCCCUGUGGAUGUCAUGUUUGUGGAUGCCUGCGACGUCGUGGGUGCCCCGGUCUCAAACAUAAUUGUACACUUAAUGAGUGAUAAGUAAUCCAUGUGCAUUUGUUAUUAUUCAUUCAUUGCGUUGUUUAUCUUGUUUGUUUUUUUGUGUGCUCUGUGUCUGUGUGUGUGAGCUUCCUCUAGUAUAUCUUGCCAUUGCUUUGUGUGUCUAUGUACGUCCUCUUCCUUCUCCCCUCUGUUGCUGAUCCUUGUCUUAGCCCUGUCCCUGUAGCCCCCUAUAUCUCUGAUGCUGCUGUGCUACCCUAUCUAAUCCUACAUUAUCCUGAUUUCCCCCUUCCUUGUUGAAUUUUAGUUCCUUAUUGCCUCUUUCCGCUUAUUAUGCCUGCUUAUCUGUAAUUGUGCU
Molecule: ribosomal RNA, 1180 nt
Filed under: uncultured Fusobacterium sp.
Lineage: Bacteria; Fusobacteriati; Fusobacteriota; Fusobacteriia; Fusobacteriales; Fusobacteriaceae
Description: bacterial SSU rRNA
Rfam family: Bacterial small subunit ribosomal RNA (bases 1-800)
Source: RNAcentral